AACGAACGCUGGCGGCAUGCCUAACACAUGCAAGUCGAACGAGACCUUCGGGCCUAGUGGCGCACGGGUGCGUAACGCGUGGGAACCUGCCCUUAGGUUCGGAAUAACUCCCCGAAAGGGGUGCUAAUACCGGAUAAUGUCUUCGGACCAAAGAUUUCUCGCCUUUGGAUGGGCCCGCGUUGGAUUAGCUGGUUGGUAGGGUAAAAGCCUACCAAGGCGACGAUGCAUAGCUGGUCUGAGAGGAUGAUCAGCCGCACUGGGACUGCGACACGGCCCAGACUCCUACGGGAGGCAGCAGUGGAGAAUAUUGGACGAUGGGCGAUAGCCUGAUCCAGCAAUGCCGCGUGAGUGAUGAAGGCCUUAGGGUUGUAAAGCUCUUUUACCCGGGAUGAUAAUGACAGUACCGGGAGAAUAAGCUCCGGCUAACUCCGUG
RNAcentral lists this ribosomal RNA (433 nucleotides) under uncultured bacterium. RNAcentral's name for it is "partial 16S ribosomal RNA". It matches the Rfam family "Bacterial small subunit ribosomal RNA", at positions 29 to 507 of the family's 1533-position model. The record is from RNAcentral.